UGAUCCUACGGGAGGCAGCAGUCGGGAAUAUUGCGCAAUGGAGGAAACUCUGACGCGGUGACGCCGCGUAUAGGAAGAAGGUUUUCGGAUUGUAAACUAUUGUCGUUAGGGAAGAUAAAAGACUGUACCUAAGGAGGAAGCCCCGGCUAACUAUGUGCCAGCAGCCGCGGUAAUACAUAGGGGGCAAGCGUUGUCCGGAAUGACUGGGCGUAAAGGGUGCGUAGGCGGCAUAAUAAGUUAGAAGUGAAAUACCCAGAGCUUAACUCGGGUGCUGCUUCUAAGACUGUUGAGCUUGAGUGCGGGAG
This 305-nucleotide ribosomal RNA is filed under the name uncultured bacterium. Its description in RNAcentral is "bacterial SSU rRNA". It matches the Rfam family "Bacterial small subunit ribosomal RNA", at positions 334 to 654 of the family's 1533-position model. The record is from RNAcentral.